AUUGAACGCUGGCGGCAGGCCUAACACAUGCAAGUCGAGCGAGCGGCGGACGGGUGAGUAAUGCCUGGGAAUUGCCCAGUCGAGGGGGAUAACAGUUUGAACCGACUGCUAAUACCGCAUACGAUUGCAUUGCACAGGUUGGAUUAGCUAGUUGUUGAGGUAAUGGCUCACCAAGGUGACGAUCCCUAGCUGGUCUGAGAGGAUGAGCAGCAACAUUGGAACGGAGACACGGUCCAGACUCCUACGGGAGGCAGCAGUGGGGAAUAUUGCACAAUGGGGUAAACCCUGAUGCAGCCAUGCCGCGUGUGUGAUGAAGGCCUUCGGGUUGUAAAGCACUUUCAGCGAGGAGGCGUUACUCGCAUAAGAAGCACCGGCUAACUCCGUGCCAGCAGCCGCGGUAAUAC
RNAcentral lists this ribosomal RNA (404 nucleotides) under uncultured bacterium. RNAcentral describes it as "partial 16S ribosomal RNA". It matches the Rfam family "Bacterial small subunit ribosomal RNA", at positions 30 to 526 of the family's 1533-position model. The record is from RNAcentral.